This 429-nucleotide ribosomal RNA is filed under the name Bacteroidota bacterium. RNAcentral's name for it is "Bacteroidetes bacterium partial 16S ribosomal RNA". It matches the Rfam family "Bacterial small subunit ribosomal RNA", at positions 355 to 776 of the family's 1533-position model. Lineage: Bacteria; Pseudomonadati; Bacteroidota. The record is from RNAcentral.
UAGGGAAUCUUCCGCAAUGGACGCAAGUCUGCCGGAGCAACGCCGCGUGAGUGAAGAAGGAUUUCGGUUCGUAAAACUCUGUUGUUAGAGAAGAACAGCGCAUAGAGUAACUGUUAUGCGUGUGACGGUAUCUAACCAGAAAGCCACGGCUAACUACGUGCCAGCAGCCGCGGUAAUACGUAGGUGGCAAGCGUUGUCCGGAUUUAUUGGGCGUAAAGCGAGCGCAGGCGGUCAAUUAAGUCUGAUGUGAAAGCCCCCGGCUCAACCGGGGAGGGUCAUUGGAAACUGGUUGACUUGAGUACAGAAGAGGGGAGUGGAAUUCCAUGUGUAGCGGUGAAAUGCGUAGAUAGAUGGAGGAACACCAGGGGCGAAGGCGGCUCUCUGGUCUGUAACUGACGCUGAGGCUCGAAAGCGUGGGUAGCAAACAGG